This 480-nucleotide ribosomal RNA is filed under the name uncultured bacterium. RNAcentral's name for it is "bacterial SSU rRNA". It matches the Rfam family "Bacterial small subunit ribosomal RNA", at positions 9 to 477 of the family's 1533-position model. The record is from RNAcentral.
GAGUUUGAUCGUGGCUCAGGAUGAACGCUGGCGGCGUGCCUAACACAUGCAAGUCGAACGGAGAGAUAUGAGAGCUUGCUCUUGUAAAUCUUAGUGGCGAACGGGUGAGUAACACGUAGGUAACCUGCCCAUGUGCCCGGGAUAACUGCUGGAAACGGUAGCUAAAACCGGAUAGGUAUGAGGGAGGCAUCUUCCUCAUAUUAAAGCACCUUCGGGUGUGAACAUGGAUGGACCUGCGGCGCAUUAGCUGGUUGGUGAGGUAACGGCCCACCAAGGCGAUGAUGCGUAGCCGACCUGAGAGGGUGAACGGCCACAUUGGGACUGAGACACGGCCCAAACUCCUACGGGAGGCAGCAGUAGGGAAUUUUCGUCAAUGGGGGGAACCCUGAACGAGCAAUGCCGCGUGUGUGAAGAAGGUCUUCGGAUCGUAAAGCACUGUUGUAAGUGAAGAAUGCCAUAUAGAGGAAAUGCUAUGUGGGU